Molecule: long non-coding RNA, 290 nt
Filed under: Nicotiana tabacum (common tobacco)
Lineage: Eukaryota; Viridiplantae; Streptophyta; Magnoliopsida; Solanales; Solanaceae
Description: long non-coding RNA (NTAB_LNC016890)
Source: RNAcentral
AGAAUUAAAGAAGUCAGGCGUCCACCUGGAGAAUGAGGAUGAGAAAAGAAGGAGUCAGGCGUCCACCUGGAGAAUGAGGAUGAGGAAUUAAAGAAGUCAGGCGUCCACCUGGAGAAUGAGGAUAAGAAUUAAAGAAGUCAGGCGUCCACCUGGAGAAUGAGGAUAAGAAUUAAAGAAGUCAGGCGUCCACCUGGAGAAUGAGGAUGAAGAAUUGAAGAAAUCAGGCGUCCACCUGGAGAAUGAGGAUGAGAAAAGAAGAAGUCAGGCGUCCACCUGGAGAAUGAGGAUGA